GAUGAACGCUGGCGGCGUGCUUAACACAUGCAAGUCGAACGAAGCACUUUUUUUGUUUUCCUUCGGUCCGGAUGCUUUUGUGACUGAGUGACGUACGGGUGCUUACCUCGUGUGUAACCUACCUUCUAGAGGGGGAUGACAAUUGGAAAUGGCUGCUAAUACCGCAUAAUGGCACGGCGUCGCAUUAUGCGGUUGGAAAAACUCCGGUGGUAUAAGAUGGACCCGGGUUGGUUUAGCGAGUUGGUGAGGUUACGGCCCACCAAGGCGACGAGCCAUAGCUGACCUGAGAGGGGGACAGGCUACAUUGGGACUGAGACACGGACCAAACUCCUACGGGAGGCAGCAGUGGGGAAUAUUGCACAAUGGGCGAAAGCCUGAUGCAGCGACGCCGCGUGAGCGAAGAAGUAUUUCGGUAUGUAAAGCUCUAUCAGCAGGGAAGAUAAUGACGGUACCUGACUAAGAAGCACCGGCUAACUACGUG
This 481-nucleotide ribosomal RNA is filed under the name uncultured bacterium. Its description in RNAcentral is "partial 16S ribosomal RNA". It matches the Rfam family "Bacterial small subunit ribosomal RNA", at positions 28 to 507 of the family's 1533-position model. The record is from RNAcentral.